GACGAACGCUGGCGGCGUGCUUAACACAUGCAAGUCGAACGGAAAGGCCCUGCUUUUGUGGGGUGCUCGAGUGGCGAACGGGUGAGUAACACGUGAGUAACCUGCCCUUGACUUUGGGAUAACUUCAGGAAACUGGGGCUAAUACCGGAUAGGAGCUCCUGCUGCAUGGUGGGGGUUGGAAAGUUUCGGCGGUUGGGGAUGGACUCGCGGCUUAUCAGCUUGUUGGGGGGGUAGUGGCUUACCAAGGCUUUGACGGGUAGCCGGCCUGAGAGGGUGACCGGCCACAUUGGGACUGAGAUACGGCCCAGACUCCUACGGGAGGCAGCAGUGGGGAAUAUUGCACAAUGGGCGGAAGCCUGAUGCAGCAACGCCGCGUGCGGGAUGACGGCCUUCUGGUUGUAAACCGCUUUCGCCUGUGACGAAGCGUGAGUGACGGUAAUGGGUAAAGAAGCACCGGCUAACUACGUG
This 468-nucleotide ribosomal RNA is filed under the name uncultured bacterium. RNAcentral's name for it is "partial 16S ribosomal RNA". It matches the Rfam family "Bacterial small subunit ribosomal RNA", at positions 28 to 507 of the family's 1533-position model. The record is from RNAcentral.